GGGAUAUUGAAUCGGAUGGAUGUUUAGUUCACCUGAUAAGCUGAUACACCAUGGCCAACCGCUGAAGGUCACAUAUACCCGUCUGAAUUGUGGAUCGACAUCUCUGCCGUUGCUGUUAAUAAAAAGAUAAGUGGUAUCAUUUUAAAAGGUCAAAGAUAACGUAGGACAGUUUUGCUUAAAUAGAUAAUUGUGAUGUGCGAUUGUUGUUGACUUCCUUUGGUAACUGCUGUUGGAAUGCAGACAGACAACACUGUCCAUUCGACUUGAUUUAUAGAGCUAGGUCGUUUAAACAUUGUUGGAGCUCAAACUUGGGCAAGGCUCCUCAGUUUAUAGCGAGGGACACACUUUUUUGCCCGCAAGCGUAAACACACUGACGUGGGUCGAUUGUGCGAAAGCGAGUCCGAGUCAGCGUAAACAGUGUUAAAACGCUUUAGCUCUGAAAAUCAAGUUUAAUCGAUAAGGGUUCGUUCUGUUUUCCAACAGCAGUACUGUUUACCAAAGGCAGAAAGUAAGGUAUGACAUCAUCAUAUCUCUUUUUUCAGUGCUGCAGUAUAACGUAAACUCUGACAUUUUGUUGCAUAUGGGCGUAUUCUAAUUUACCUAUAUAUGCUAAUACGUGUGUAUGUUAUUUAUCUGCAACUAAUUUGGAAAAAAUAGCACAUGGUCAUUUGGAACACUUUACAAUUUAAUCAAUAUAUUUGGAUACAAAAUAUUGGCGAUGUAUUCUUUGUCUGUAUCCAAUAUAUGUCGUGGUGGUAUCUGUAACAUAAUGUUUGUUCAACAGCUGUCCGUGCAUUGGUCUAAGGGCAGGAACCCUACAUGAGCUCAGAGACACCAUGACCAACCGCUGAAGGUCACCUAUACCAGACUGAAGUAUGGACCGUCAUCUCUGCCAUUUUUGUGAAUAAAAAGAUAAGUGAUAUCAUUUUAAGCGAGGCUGUUUUCGGAGAAAACCCGAGCUAUUGUCAUAGCCAGCUCGUCCGCCGUCCGACGUCCGCCGUCCGCCGUAGGCGUCGUGCCUAAACCUUAACAUUGGCUCUAAAAUCAAAGUGCUUCCACCUACAACUUUGAAACUUCAUAUGUAGAUGCACCUUGAUAAGUUCUAUACGUCGCACCCAUUUUUGGGUUUCGAGAUCAAAGGUCAAGGUCACUGUGACCUCUAAUAUCAAACUUUAACAUCUGAAAUCAAAGUGCUUCCACCUACAACUUUGAAACUUUAUAUGUAGUUGCACCUUGAUGAGUUCUACAUGCCACACCCAUUUUUGGGUCACUAGGUCAAAGAUCAAGGUCACUGUGACCUCUAAUAUAAAACUUUAACAAAAACCUUAACAUUGCCUCUAAAAUCAAAGUGCUUCCACCUACAACUUUCAAACUUCAUAUGUAGAUGCACCUUGAUGUGUUCUACACGCCACACCCAUUUUGGGUCACUAGGUCAAAGGUCAAGGUCACUGUGACCUCUAAAAAAAAAUCUGACAAGCUUUCGCAGCCGAGCGUGGCACCCGUUAUGCGGUGCUCUAGUUAAAUGUCAAAGAUGACGUUAGACAGGUAUGCUUAAAGUGAUAAUUGCGAUGUGCGAUUGUUGUUGACUCCCUUUGGUAAGCAUUACUGCUGUUGGUAUGCAGACAGACAACACUGUCCAUUCGACUUGAUUUAUAGAGCUAUGACGUUUUAACAUCGUUGAAGCUCAAACUCGGGCAAGGCUCCUCAGUUUACAGCGAGGGACACACUUUUUUGCCCGCAAGCGUAAACACACUGACGUGGGUCGAUGGUGCGAAAGCGAGUCCGAGUCAGCGUAAACAUUGUUAAAACGCCUUAGCUCUGAAAAUCAAGUAUAAUCGAUAGCGUUUUCGUUCUGUUUUCCAACAGCAAUACUGUUUACCAAAGGCAUUAAGCAAGGUCUUACAUCAUCUUACCUCUUUUUUCAGUGCUGUAGUUUAACGUAAACUCUGACCUUUUGUUACAAAUUGUGUAUUAUAAUUUACCUAUAUUUGCUAAUACGUCUUUAUGUUUUUUAUCUGCAACUAAUUUGGAAAAAAUAUAGCAAAUGGUAAUUUGGAACACAAUUUAAUCAAUAUAUUUGGUCAAAAAUAUUUGCGACGUAUUCUUUGUCCGUAUCCAAUAAACGUCGUGGUGGUAUCUCUAACAUAUUUUUGUUCAACAGCUGUCCGUGCAUUGUGAUAAGGGCACGAACUCUACAUGGGCUCCGAUACACCCUGGUCAACCGCUGAAGGUCACCUAUACCAAACUAAAGUAUGGACCGUCAUCUCUGCCAUUGCUGUGAAUACAAAGAUAUGCGAUAUAAUGUUUUUAAAGGUCAAAGAUGACGUUAGACAGGUAAGUUUCCAGUCCGUGUCAGAUGGGACACUAACACGAUCCGGUUCCACUGCUGAAGAAGUAUGGCGCAACGUUUACGGAUUCCAUGAAGAUUAUUCAAUUUAGACGUUCCGUGGAGGCUGAACAUCGUUGCAUAUUAAAUAAAUUGGAGCGACUGAAUAA
Dreissena polymorpha is the source of this 2496-nucleotide long non-coding RNA. RefSeq lists it as uncharacterized. The transcript has 3 exons. NCBI's taxonomy places the organism in Eukaryota, Metazoa, Mollusca, Bivalvia, Myida, Dreissenidae. The record is from RefSeq and is a predicted model, not a curated record.